AUGAUGCUCUUGUCGCCAACCGGACUUGGACCCUCGUUCCUCGUCCGCCUGGAGCGAACAUCAUCUCGGGCAAGUGGGUUUUUCAUCACAAACUCCUCCUGGACGGUUCUCUGGACAGGUACAAGGCUCGCUGGGUUGUCCGUGGAUUUGCACAACAUGCCGGUGUUGACUUCUCUGAGACUUUCUCUCUGGUAG
RNAcentral lists this ribosomal RNA (195 nucleotides) under Triticum aestivum (bread wheat). RNAcentral describes it as "partial small subunit ribosomal RNA". The record is from RNAcentral. Lineage: Eukaryota; Viridiplantae; Streptophyta; Magnoliopsida; Poales; Poaceae.